CGUUUCUGACCAAACGAUGAAAUAGAAGUUCAGUUCAGUUUGUCUCUGAUAUCAGCAGACAUGAGGCCCGGUCCAAACACACAUGUGGUACCAAAACCUCCUGACAGCCUUUUCUCUGCUCUCGCUACACGUCCACAGAGCGACGGACCACAGAGCAGCCGGCUCCCACAGGUCCAGUCGACGUGACGGGCCGUGUGCUUCAGUGUUGGUCUGGACGGAGAAGUUCUGGUUCUGAAGCUCAAGUGGACGAGACGAGAAAACAUCCCGACUGUAACCUGAUAAUGAACAACCUCAACAUUACACAGCAUCGCAAGGGGAGCGCUUCAUUUUUAAUGCUGUCUGGACCCGAGUUCUCCUCGGCUCAUUACGGCCCAGUACCAUUACUGUGUGUGUGUGUGUGUGUGUGUGUGUGUGUGUGUGUGUGUGUGUGUGUGUGUGUGUGUGUGUGUGUGUGUGUGUGUGUGUCCUCUCCUCUAUAUAUUUUCUUCCAGUUUGAUUUGCAUUUGUGAGGAUACUGAUGAUUUAUGCAUGUGGUGCUCUUGUUAUGUGUUUAUCAUAUUCUAUGUGGUGUUUACGUUCUGGAUCUCGUCCUGCUGCAGCUCUGUGAUCCGACUUCAUAUUCCGAUGAAAGAAAAUGUGAAUUUGUUGGAUUCUGUGCUGAUCAGACCCGGACAGAGUGAAUCUGAUCAGCCACAUGUGAAACAGUCCGUCGUGUCCUUGUCGCUGUUUGUGAUCCACUGUGGUUUGUUCUGCACCGGCUGUGCGUGACGGAUCUUCUGUGAUGACAAAAAGAAGAGAUUCAUUUUAGCAAAAAUCACAACGCAGAACACAAUCGUAUGACAUGUUCAGAGGCUCCACAACAAGACGAACAAACCGAUGGCUCUCAGAGCGACGGAGUCUUCUGCUGCCUCGGUUACUCCGUGUUUUUGAGUUGUUGUGACUUUGGUUGAACACGUGAGUUCGGAACUGAAACCCAUAACAGAACCAAAGCCACAGUAAGGUGAAGAUGUACAUAUAUUUAUAUCCUGCGACUGCUUGGAGAAAAUCAUCGCUACGUGUCUGCAAGAUGCACAUGAACAGAACAGUGUGGCGCCACCAUGUGGAGCAGCAGGGCUAACAGCAAGCUAACAUGCUAUCAGUGGUAUCAUGAGGUAACACCUGUGAUAUAUUGUGCGAGUAUAACUGAGUUUCUCUUCAUCUGAACACAUGAUGUUCAUCAGUUAACACGACGGUUAUUAUGUGAUAAAAUAACAAGAAGUCAAACGAUGUGGUGAUAAAUGAAUAAAUAAAUAACUGAGCGAAAUGUUUCUAAAAUGAUGUUUACACUGAAAAUACUGAAGAUCACAAGUGUGAAGAAUCAGUUUUGAGCCCAUCUGAACAAAUGUGAGAAACCAGCAGGUGGAGGAAGGUUGAAGUUCCUCCAGAGAUUCAGUAUCGACACUGCUGAGUGUUAACAUUCAGGAUGAA
This is a long non-coding RNA of Acanthopagrus latus (yellowfin seabream), 1467 nucleotides long. RefSeq lists it as uncharacterized. The record is from RefSeq and is a predicted model, not a curated record. NCBI's taxonomy places the organism in Eukaryota, Metazoa, Chordata, Actinopteri, Spariformes, Sparidae. The transcript has 2 exons.